GACGAACGCUGGCGGCGUGCUUAACACAUGCAAGUCGAACGGAGCGAAUGAAAGCUUGCUUUUAUGAGCUUAGUGGCAAACGGGUGAGUAACACGUAGACAACCUGCCGACAGGAUGGGGACAACAUUCCGAAAGGAAUGCUAAUACCGAAUGAAGCGGAGGAGAGGCAUCUCUCUUCCGUGAAAGAUGGCCUCUAUUUAUAAGCUAUCACCUGUCGAUGGGUCUGCGUCUGAUUAGCUGGUUGGUGAGGUAACGGCUCACCAAGGCGACGAUCAGUAGCCGGUCUGAGAGGAUGAACGGCCACAUUGGGACUGAGACACGGCCCAGACUCCUACGGGAGGCAGCAGUGGGGAAUCUUCCGCAAUGGGCGCAAGCCUGACGGAGCAACGCCGCGUGAGUGAAGAAGGUCUUCGGAUCGUAAAGCUCUGUUGACGGGGACGAACGUGCGAAGGGUGAAUAAUCCUUUGAAUGACGGACCU
RNAcentral lists this ribosomal RNA (479 nucleotides) under Centipeda infelix. Its description in RNAcentral is "bacterial SSU rRNA". It matches the Rfam family "Bacterial small subunit ribosomal RNA", at positions 28 to 479 of the family's 1533-position model. Lineage: Bacteria; Bacillati; Bacillota; Negativicutes; Selenomonadales; Selenomonadaceae. The record is from RNAcentral.